UCCUGUGGCCGACGUCAUCUGGAGGAGAUUUGCUUUCCUUUUCUCCAAAAGGGGAGAAAGUUGAAACUGAGUGGCCCACGAUGGGAAGAGGGGAAGCCCAGGGGUACAGGAGGCCUCUGGGUGAAGGCAGAGCCUAACAUGGGGUUCAAAGCAACCUUGGCCGUUGGCCUGACCAUCUUUGUGCUGUCUGUCGUCACUAUCAUCAUCUGCUUCACCUGCUCCUGCUGCUUUCUGUACAAGACGUGCCACCGACCACGUCCCUCCAAGUGUGCCGCCCAGCUACCCUGGACCAAGCUACCAGGGCUACCACACCAUGCCGCCUCAGCCAGGGAUGCCAGCAGCACCCUACCCAAUGCAGUACCCACCACCUUACCCAGCCCAGCUCAUGGGCCCACCGGCCUACCACAAGACCCUGGCUGGAGGAGCAGCCGCGCCCUACCCUGCCAGCCAGCCUCCUUACAACCCAGCCUACAUGGAUGCCCCCAAGGCGCCCCUCUGAGCAUCCCCCAGCCUCUCUGGCUGCCACUUGGUUAUGUUGUGUGUGUGUGAGUGGUGUGCAGGCACGGUUCCUUACGGCCCAUGCGUGCUGUGUGUGUCCUGCCUGUAUAUGUGGCUUCCUCUGAUGCUGACGAGGUGGGGAACGAUCCUUGCCAGAGUGGGCUGGGACCAGACUUUGUUUUCUUCCUCACCUGAAAUUAUGCUUCCUAAAAUCUCAAGCCAAACUCAAAGAAUGGGGUGGUGGGGGCACCCUGUGAGGUGGCCCCUGAGAGGUGGGGGGUUCUCCAGAGCACAUCUGGAGUUCUUCUCCAGCUUACCCUAGGGUGACCAAGUAUGGCCUGUCACACCAGAAUGACGCAGCUUUCUGUAUGAUGCAGAUGUGUCCUGGUUUCGGCAGCGUAGCCAGCUGCUGCUCGAGGUCAUGCAGGCGAAACUUGGGAUCUAACCAAGUUGGGCUUUGAUCCUUUAGGCAGAUGUCCCAUUGCUCCCUGGAGCCUGUGUCGUGCCUGUUGGCGGUCAGGUGGCCCCCUGAUGCCAGAACACCUCAGGCAGAGCCCUCCUCACCUGAUAGCUGUCUGCCUGGACUGUCCCCUGUCCCUGCAUCUUCCCUGGGACCACCCAGAGGGCCACAUCCACACACAGCCUAGCUGUCCACAGGGAGCUCUGCUGCCCUUGCUGCCCCUCCCUUCCCACAGGUGAGCAGGGCUCCUGUCCACCAGCACACUCAGGUCUCUUCCCGGCAGUGUUUUCAUUUUAUUUUAGCCAAACAUGUUGCCUGUUUUCUGU
Molecule: non-coding RNA, 1284 nt
Organism: Macaca mulatta (Rhesus monkey)
Lineage: Eukaryota; Metazoa; Chordata; Mammalia; Primates; Cercopithecidae
Source: RefSeq, a predicted model, not a curated record